RNAcentral lists this transfer RNA (130 nucleotides) under Klebsiella variicola. RNAcentral's name for it is "tRNA-OTHER". Lineage: Bacteria; Pseudomonadati; Pseudomonadota; Gammaproteobacteria; Enterobacterales; Enterobacteriaceae. The record is from RNAcentral.
GUUGAUAUAUACCUUUUGUUGCUGGUGAAAAGUCUAAUUAACUAAGUUUAAUCAAUCAGUUAGCUAGGCUUUGUAGAUAAUUAAUUAGAGUCUGCGAAGGUCGUAGGUUCGACUCCUAUUAUCGGCACCA